Molecule: ribosomal RNA, 484 nt
Filed under: uncultured bacterium
Lineage: Bacteria
Description: partial 16S ribosomal RNA
Rfam family: Bacterial small subunit ribosomal RNA
Source: RNAcentral
AUUGAACGCUGGCGGCAGGCCUAACACAUGCAAGUCGAGCGGAUGAAGGGAGCUUGCUCCUGGAUUCAGCGGCGGACGGGUGAGUAAUGCCUAGGAAUCUGCCUGGUAGUGGGGGAUAACGUCCGGAAACGAGCGCUAAUACCGCAUACGUCCUGAGGGAGAAAGAGGGGGAUCUUCGGACAUCAAGCUAUCCGCUGAACCUAGGUCGGAUUAGCUAGUUGGUGGGGUAAAGGCCUACCAAGGCGACGAUCCGUAACGGGUCUGAGAGGCUGAUCAGUCACACGGGAACUGGAACACGGUCCAGACUCCUACGGGAGGCAGCAGUGGGGAAUAUUGGACAAUGGGCGAAAUCCUGAUCCAGCCAUGCCGCGUGUGUGAAGAAGGUCUUCGGAUUGUAAAGCACUUUAAGUUGGGAGGAAGGGCAGUAAGUUAAUACCUUGCUGUUUUGACGUUACCAACAGAAUAAGCACCGGCUAACUUCGUG